GGCCCAUUAGGCUAACGGUAGACCGGGUCGUUUACACCGACCAUGCCGAGGUUCAAUUCCUCGAUGGGCCA
Molecule: transfer RNA, 71 nt
Filed under: Candidatus Pacearchaeota archaeon
Lineage: Archaea; Nanobdellati
Description: tRNA-Val
Rfam family: tRNA
About the family: Transfer RNA (tRNA) molecules are approximately 80 nucleotides in length. Their secondary structure includes four short double-helical elements and three loops (D, anti-codon, and T loops). Further hydrogen bonds mediate the characteristic L-shaped molecular structure. tRNAs have two regions of fundamental functional importance: the anti-codon, which is responsible for specific mRNA codon recognition, and the 3' end, to which the tRNAs corresponding amino acid is attached (by aminoacyl-tRNA synthetases). tRNAs cope with the degeneracy of the genetic code in two manners: having more than one tRNA (with a specific anti-codon) for a particular amino acid; and 'wobble' base-pairing, i.e. permitting non-standard base-pairing at the 3rd anti-codon position.
Source: RNAcentral